UACGAAGGGGGCUAGCGUUGCUCGGAAUCACUGGGCGUAAAGGGUGCGUAGGCGGGUCUUUAAGUCAGGGGUGAAAUCCUGGAGCUCAACUCCAGAAAUGCCUUUGAUACUGAAGAUCUUGAGUUCGGGAGAGGUGAGUGGAACUGCGAGUGUAGAGGUGAAAUUCGUAGAUAUUCGCAAGAACACCAGUGGCGAAGGCGGCUCACUGGCCCGGUACUGACGCUGAGGUGCGAAAGCGUGGGGAGCAAACAGG
RNAcentral lists this ribosomal RNA (253 nucleotides) under uncultured bacterium. Its description in RNAcentral is "partial 16S ribosomal RNA". It matches the Rfam family "Bacterial small subunit ribosomal RNA", at positions 524 to 776 of the family's 1533-position model. The record is from RNAcentral.